Long non-coding RNA from Prinia subflava (tawny-flanked prinia), 1100 nucleotides. RefSeq lists it as uncharacterized. NCBI's taxonomy places the organism in Eukaryota, Metazoa, Chordata, Aves, Passeriformes, Cisticolidae. The transcript has 3 exons. The record is from RefSeq and is a predicted model, not a curated record.
CACAGAUCACUUCUUAGUCAUUUUAAGGCCACUAAGUUGGUUUGGUUUUCUAUAGUCUAGCUAUUCCUGUGGGAUCUCAGUACCCAUACAGAUUUGAUAGAUGCUUCUAUAAGCAGCUAGAAAUAAGUCACAGCAUCCAGAACUACUGCUCUGCCACAUUAUCAGAGACAGCAGCAAGCUGUCAGCAGAAAAUAACUGGAACACAGUUUUCAAAUAAAAUAAUGAAACAGAUAAUGCAUAGCUUAAAAUUAUUAAUUUAAUAGUACUUAAUUCACAUCAUUUCCUUAUAUAAAGCCUCUAUAAAAACAAUUUUCUGUAUUACUAUAUAAAGAGAGAAAAAUCAGGUAAUAAUUCUAGAAUUAAGGAUAACUCAAGAUUUACAAAUUCCAACCUGACAUCCACUGGAUUUUUGUGUACUGCAAUUACACCCAAAUUAAAACCCGUAGUCUGUGUAAAGCAGAGAAGAAACUUAACUGUGUGUCUAGAUUAAUAACUAACAUUAUUUUUCUCUUUUUGUGGCAAUGCACAGUAUUUAUAACCCAGCCAGAAGCUGUGAUUCUCCAGAGAAUGUGGCACACAAACAUUUAAUUAAGCACUAUCAUAGCACAAAAGCACAAUAGGGAUAAAAGCCGAAGAGCACUAACCCUGUGUCGUGGUUUGAAGGGAAGUGAGUUUUUUUAGAAGUAGUGGUCAAACCAAUCAGUCCUUAAGUCUGAGUAUUGGCACCUUUGUUAGCCACUAAGAGGUUGGACACGCCUCUGAAGACACGAAGAGUUAAAAGCCGGAUUUCCCAGCAGGACUCUCUCUUUCCCUGCUCUGCUUUCGGAGAGGGAGCGUCUUCUCCUCUCCCCUGCCCAGGCCUGGCUAGGCCGGGUGGGGGAAGGGAGCAAGAGAGAAGGUGCCGAGCUGAAGCUGCUUGUGAGAGCUGCAGUGUCUGCGAUCGCCUGUGCCUGACCUUAGUGUUUUUGUAGCCACUGGUUCCCAGAGACAGAAGUGUAAUGAGGACAUCUAAAGAAGGAGAUGCAGAUGCUCUUCCUGAAAAAAACCCCAACAGACAGAUUAAAGUGGCAAAAAUAAAUUUUAUGUGAAAGAAAGCUGAU